This 77-nucleotide transfer RNA is filed under the name Candidatus Saccharimonadota bacterium. RNAcentral describes it as "tRNA-Arg". It matches the Rfam family "tRNA". From Rfam's summary of the family: Transfer RNA (tRNA) molecules are approximately 80 nucleotides in length. Their secondary structure includes four short double-helical elements and three loops (D, anti-codon, and T loops). The record is from RNAcentral. Lineage: Bacteria; Candidatus Saccharimonadota.
GCACCCGUAGCUCAGUGGAUUAGAGCAUCUGUCUUCGGAACAGAGGGCCGUACGUUCGAAUCGUACCGGGUGUACCA